Molecule: non-coding RNA, 5008 nt
Organism: Taeniopygia guttata (zebra finch)
Lineage: Eukaryota; Metazoa; Chordata; Aves; Passeriformes; Estrildidae
Source: RefSeq, a predicted model, not a curated record
AAAAAAAAAAUACACAACCCCAUCAGGCACAAAUGAAAAAUUAUGACUUUUCUCCUUUUAUCUUUUUCUAAGGGUUUUUUGUUGCUUUGUUUUAACUUAGCAGAUGUAAUCCAGUCAAGUUUCUUCCUCAGCCUCUAAAAGAAAAAAAGAUAAAUUUAGUAUUUAGGAAGGUUUUCUAUUUUAUAUAGUAUGAAUAUUUUGUUAUCUUUUUUGCUGCUAUUUUUUAAUUAAUCUACAAGAGCUUGUAUUCCUGAAGGGUAUUCAGAUUUCCACAGUGAUAUUCUUCAGAGGACACCUAUAUUUCUGCUUUAGAACAUGCUAAAUAGGUGCCUAAAUUGUGGUAGCACCAAGUAGCACAGUACAAUACACAAAGCAGCCACUCCACAACUGGCCAGGCAGGACACCUGAGCCCAGGACUAUUCCUUGAAAAUGCCACAAAACACAGCCAUAAAAACAGGACAUGCUGGCAGCCCAGUUUUGUCCAGUAGUCCAGCAACACCUCAGGUUUACUUAACUAAAUUGGUCAGAAAACAGACUUGAAUAUUUGUUGUAACUACUGGAGACCAACAGGAGUGAGACAAAAGGGCUGUUCCCUUUCAUAUCAUGGGGAAUGAGAGGAAAAUGGGAUUUCAGCUGAUAUAAAAGUGCUGACACAAGUGACAGGGACUAAAUCAGUUAUGAACGCACUGUUGUUGGGAGGGACAGGUGGAAGGUUUUGUCAGAAAAGCAAGAACACUUCUCAAACAUAUCUUUUACCAUAUUUUUUACUUUUUACAGACAGAACAGUUUUAGAAGGGAACGUGAAAACUUCAAGGAACCUUUAUGACUUGGCUGCUCCAUGAUAGUAGGGGACUGACACUUGAUAAAUGUGUAUCUCCAGUUUAUCCCUUAGGUUGGAUGAAAUGAACUCAUGAGAAUGCUGUUUGGAAGAGAGAAGUAUUUUCAGUGAAGCUACAAACAGGAAACCACCAGUGGCCAGAUAAGAUAUUGAAAAUUUAAAACUGCUAAAGUGCCUCAUCCCCAGAAGGACGAGGAUCAUUUUCAGGUGCAGUUUUUUACUUCCAUACUCGCUGUUUCCCUGUGAGUUGUCAGUCCUGUCCAAACAUUUCUUCUCAGUUUGGGGCUGGGAAUUCCCACUGUCAGGCCCAGAUGAGAGGCUGGGACUGAGCCUUAAGUUGCUUUUCCCAUUAAAGAUCUGAGGACUGCAGUCCCAGAAGGAGGUUUUGUGUUCUCAGUUGCUGAGACUGGAUCCCCCCCUGCAAAGCAGUAACAAAUACAACCCCAGAAUUAAGGACAACAGGAAUAAUUAAAUCCAGGAUCCACCUGUUCUCUGGCCCACAAAACUUAGAAGAAAAAUUAUUUAAUGGUUUGCCUUCAGCAGGGCUGUGUGGUCAGCCUCAGGCACAUGACAGCCUUCGUGCUUCAAGGCUGUCUGGUUUAUAACUGAGCUGAUCAUUGUCUUGGUGACAGUUGGGAUGUCAGCACUGAUGACUAAGUGGCCACUUCCAUGCCAUACUUUGGAUAUGACAAAGUGACAACUUCUAUUUCCGGGUUGUAGUUUCUUUAAACCAUGUUCAAAGACAGCUGAUGGAGCACGAGAUUUCUGAAACUAAGAGUCUGAUAGAAAUUUUGGACAAGGAAGCAAGGUCUAAAGCCCAUGAUUUGGACAAGGGAGCAAGGUCUAAAGACCAUGAUUUAUGUCUGUGAUUUAAUACAUAGUUCUGACCUGUCAUCACUGGUCCUUCAGGCUUUGCACUGAAAGUUGCACCCAACAAAUGUUUGAGAGCACGGUGUUUUUAUAAGAACUGUUGUCAUCUUUUGAAUUACACAAGAAUCACUGAGGGAGUAACAUAAUUAUCUCCAAACAACACAAAAUCAUCAGCAUUUUCCAAGUACUUUAGAAUUUGUGGUUUUGUCUUUAAUUGUGCUGUUACUGUGCUUGCUCAUGAGUUGUGGGUGAUAACAUGUGAUUAUCAUCUGCCUACUUGAUCACAUGCACAUUUGUGAUGCUCGCAAGAGCAAACAUUACUGGCUGGGAUCUGUCACAUUCUCAGUUUCAGAGACUGUUUCCCAGACAACAGCACAGUCCCCUUGAUCCACCAGCAGUGCACCACCGUGGAUCUGUGCUCAGUCUAACACCUGGUGGCAGCUGCUGCUCCCACUCCUGACACAGACAAGAUCUUUGUCGAGCCAUCAUCUCUGCAAGUCAAGGAAACUGCACAACCUAAAUUAAAAAGUCAAAAUGAGUCAAACAGCACCUACCUUGUUACAAAUUCUGAGUCAGUUUUCAAAUUGAAACCAGAUCAUUCCUUGUCAAAAGCCAUUUAAGGGCUAUGUACUGCCUGUUUAAGUUCUCUGCUGCCAAACAUAAAGCCAAGCACAGCUGUGUAAGGUGGUAAAUCAUUUCUCUGUAGUAAUUGGAGUGUGUUAAAACAAAGGAGCCCAGAGGGCAGGUGGAAGAGUGAGUGUCAGAAGCAGCUCAGGCCAGCUGGGUGGGAUCCUGUGUGCAGGGCGUUUACAUUUCGGAUGUUGUCAGGUGGGGGAGGAAGCUGAUAAGAAAAAUAAUUAUUUGCAUUCAAAUUAUAUACACAGUGCCAGAGCCUGGUUAGUGUAGGCAGUGUUAGACAGUGUUUCCCAACUGCAGGAGAUGUAUGACAUGCUGGGUAAAGAAGGUAUAUGAAGCAACAGAACCCUGAAGGUGUGCAGCUCUAAGCUUCUUGGCACAUUUUAUGGCAAAAUAAUAAAAUAAAAAGGAUCUGAAAAUCAAGUGUUUGUCCCAGAACAUGUUAAAUGAAGGGAGAGCUAAAGCUGAGUGGCUGCACAGCAGUGUAGCAGUAUCACAAAUCAGCAGUUCUGAUCCCAAGCUGUCCUUCCACAUCAGGUGGCCACAGGUCUCUGUAGAUCUUAUCACUAAUUUUUGGUUUUUCACUUAUUUCACAUUUGCACUCUAAAUUGCUCUCAGGUUACCUAAGACUGGUUUUAUUGAAAUCACAUCCCAGAGAGCUGUGCAGUGUAAUUGUAGCUGUGGUGACCAAUAUCUGCAAAGGGGAGAAAAGCUGCUUCAUCACAGAUGAGGACUUGUGCAAACUGAAAUCUAAAAGUCUGUUCUCACAGGGACACACAGGGAGUGGAACAGACAGAUAACACAUGUGAUCCAGCCCCCUCUCGUGGUUUUUCCACACAGAAGGCAGGAAUCGACUCAAACUGAUUACCUGGUAAUUAUAUAAACACCUGCAUCUCUUCUCUGAAAGCUGAUAUGGUCACUGGAAUUUCACCUCUUCUUAGGGAGCGAUAGGUAUUAGUCUGAGGAUAGAAAAUUAUAAUCUGUAAAAAAUUUUAUUUGUAUUUCCUAGGUAACUUGAUGGCUAUUUCUGGUAGAAUAUGAAGGAGUAAAGGAAGGGAAUUUGUUGUCUAUUUCUAUGAACUGGUUUUUUUUUUUCAAACUGAGGGAGGAAGUAAAUACUACAGGACAGAAAACAAAACUCUCCUGGUCAACAGAUAAAGUGCAGAAACAAUCACAGGCAAUUGGUUGUCUUACACUGCUCUGUGUGGUAAUUGAGCUGAACAGAAUUGCAUGAUACAAACAAGUCAGUGUUUGUCAGCAGGUGAAGAAGAAAUGCACUGAACUGCGAGAACUGCUGCAGGUCUGGCUAAAGCCAAGCUGGUUCCAGUCGGUGUUUUGGGGGUGCACAGCUUUGGCCAAAUGAGCCCUGAUCAGUUUUCUUGCUCUGCAGCACUGCAUGGCCUUCCUGCCAUUUCUCCAUUUCAUUUAUGGCUCACUGUGCAAAAAGAAAUUUAAGUGCCUUGUUCCUCAGGGCUCAUCCUGGCCACGUGAAGAGCUGUCCCAGGGCAGCAGCCCAGGGACAGAAAUAACUGUCCUGAGGUGGCACCAGGGCCAGCUGCCCCAGCUCCCCCAGCCUGGGCAGAGCUGCAGAGCAGCUGCACUGGGGCACUUCAGCAGUGCAGCUCCCCUGCCUGAGGUGGGAGGUUUAUGGAGCCCGGAGCUCCCCAGUGCUGUUUGCUGCAUUCUGCUCCUUUCCCUCUGCCCUGGGUCAAAUGAGGGCUCCAGGCCACAGUGAUGGGGAAUUUGGGACAGCACCUGUUCUGAAGAAGGAAGGUGAAGGGCUUUGGGGUGGGAGGCUGCAGCACUGGGGAGCACUGUCAGGACUCAACAUCAGCACUGAAACUGUUAAUGCCUUGCAGAGGAGGUAAAACUGGUAAGGAAUACUGGUUACUUCAAUAAAAACACAUUUUCAGUACUGAAAGGGAAAUAUUUUUAUUCCAUUUAUGUUUCUCUGAAGAGAGAAAGAGAUGCAGCAAAGCAUGUUAAUGCCUGCUACAGUGUUCUGAGCUCUGUUCUGACCUAAUCAAUGUCUCAUCAUGGAAACUCAUUUGUGCCUAACACCACUUUUCCAGAAUGUUCUGUAGUGGUGGCAUUUCCCCAUUGGUGUCUUCUUUAGACAUUAAUCAGAAAUCUAGAAGGAUAAAAUUAUUUGAACAAAACUCCUGUUAAAGUAUAGGCAAAGAUAGAGGAGUUGGUACCACCCUGCACUGAGGUAUUGCUGUGCUUUCUUUCCAUCAAUAAAGGUAUUUGUUUAUUAAAAGCAUCAUUUGAUGUGACCUUGUCAUGCAGGGAUGCGUUAUGACUUGCCAGGAAUUAAUGAGCCAAUUUUGGGAUCACUGAAAAAGAGCUUUGCUAGCCAACAAAGUUUUCUCUAAGAAGUACAUUCAGGAAAAUACAGCCAAGCAUGAGGAGGCUGAUACCGAGCUGACAGCUGAUGAAAGAGUGUUUACAGCUGGGCAGCCAUGAGGAAUUGUAUAAUGGAAGUCACUGAAGAGGUAUGUCUGGAAAAGAAAACACUGACAAUUUUCUGUCAUUACAACUGCCAGAUUGACAGAGGGAGUGGGAACUUGUUUUUCCAGAUCAAGGAUAGAGCAGGACUUUUGAAUGGUUUUCAUUAGUAUUGCCUGUGAAUACCAAUAUUUCACAUCAAUAAAACUUGGAUUU